RNAcentral lists this ribosomal RNA (1303 nucleotides) under Salmonella enterica subsp. enterica serovar Infantis. Its description in RNAcentral is "partial 23S ribosomal RNA". It matches the Rfam family "Bacterial large subunit ribosomal RNA", at positions 1520 to 2803 of the family's 2925-position model. The record is from RNAcentral. Lineage: Bacteria; Pseudomonadati; Pseudomonadota; Gammaproteobacteria; Enterobacterales; Enterobacteriaceae.
GUAGGCUGGUUUUCCAGGCAAAUCCGGAAAAUCAAGGCUGAGGCGUGAUGACGAGGCACUACGGUGCUGAAGCAACAAAUGCCCUGCUUCCAGGAAAAGCCUCUAAGCAUCAGGUAACAUCAAAUCGUACCCCAAACCGACACAGGUGGUCAGGUAGAGAAUACCAAGGCGCUUGAGAGAACUCGGGUGAAGGAACUAGGCAAAAUGGUGCCGUAACUUCGGGAGAAGGCACGCUGACACGUAGGUGAAGUGAUUUACUCAUGGAGCUGAAGUCAGUCGAAGAUACCAGCUGGCUGCAACUGUUUAUUAAAAACACAGCACUGUGCAAACACGAAAGUGGACGUAUACGGUGUGACGCCUGCCCGGUGCCGGAAGGUUAAUUGAUGGGGUCAGCGCAAGCGAAGCUCCUGAUCGAAGCCCCGGUAAACGGCGGCCGUAACUAUAACGGUCCUAAGGUAGCGAAAUUCCUUGUCGGGUAAGUUCCGACCUGCACGAAUGGCGUAAUGAUGGCCAGGCUGUCUCCACCCGAGACUCAGUGAAAUUGAACUCGCUGUGAAGAUGCAGUGUACCCGCGGCAAGACGGAAAGACCCCGUGAACCUUUACUAUAGCUUGACACUGAACAUUGAGCCUUGAUGUGUAGGAUAGGUGGGAGGCUUUGAAGCGUGGACGCCAGUCUGCGUGGAGCCGACCUUGAAAUACCACCCUUUAAUGUUUGAUGUUCUAACGUGGAUCCGUAAUCCGGGUUGCGGACAGUGUCUGGUGGGUAGUUUGACUGGGGCGGUCUCCUCCUAAAGAGUAACGGAGGAGCACGAAGGUUGGCUAAUCCUGGUCGGACAUCAGGAGGUUAGUGCAAUGGCAUAAGCCAGCUUGACUGCGAGCGUGACGGCGCGAGCAGGUGCGAAAGCAGGUCAUAGUGAUCCGGUGGUUCUGAAUGGAAGGGCCAUCGCUCAACGGAUAAAAGGUACUCCGGGGAUAACAGGCUGAUACCGCCCAAGAGUUCAUAUCGACGGCGGUGUUUGGCACCUCGAUGUCGGCUCAUCACAUCCUGGGGCUGAAGUAGGUCCCAAGGGUAUGGCUGUUCGCCAUUUAAAGUGGUACGCGAGCUGGGUUUAGAACGUCGUGAGACAGUUCGGUCCCUAUCUGCCGUGGGCGCUGGAGAACUGAGGGGGGCUGCUCCUAGUACGAGAGGACCGGAGUGGACGCAUCACUGGUGUUCGGGUUGUCAUGCCAAUGGCACUGCCCGGUAGCUAAAUGCGGAAGAGAUAAGUGCUGAAAGCAUCUAAGCACGAAACUUGCCCCGAG